GAUGAACGCUAGCGGGAGGCCUAAUACAUGCAAGUCGAACGGGUGAAUUAGCUUCGGUUGGUUCACUAGUGGCGCACGGGUGAGUAACGCGUACGCAAUCUGCCCUAUGCUGGGGAAUAGCCCUGGGAAACUGGGAGUAAUACGCCAUAGUUCUACGGAUCUGCAUGGAUUUGUAGAUAAAGCUGCGGCGGCAUAGGAUGAGCGUGCGUCUGAUUAGGUAAUUGGUGAGGUAACGGCUCACCAAGCCGACGAUCAGUAAGGGGCGUGAGAGCGUGGCCCCCUCACACGGGUACUGAGACACGGACCCGACUCCUACGGGAGGCAGCAGUAAGGAAUAUUGGACAAUGGGCGCAAGCCUGAUCCAGCCAUCCCGCGUGCUUGAUGAAGGCCCUCUGGGUUGUAAAGAGCUUUAGUCUGGGAAGAAACCGUUUUCUGCGGAAGACGCUGACGGUACCAGAAGAAUAAGCACCGGCUAACUCCGUGCCAGC
Molecule: ribosomal RNA, 488 nt
Filed under: uncultured bacterium
Lineage: Bacteria
Description: bacterial SSU rRNA
Rfam family: Bacterial small subunit ribosomal RNA
Source: RNAcentral